This 425-nucleotide ribosomal RNA is filed under the name uncultured bacterium. RNAcentral describes it as "partial 16S ribosomal RNA". It matches the Rfam family "Bacterial small subunit ribosomal RNA", at positions 355 to 772 of the family's 1533-position model. The record is from RNAcentral.
UGGGGAAUUUUGGACAAUGGGGGAAACCCUGAUCCAGCCAUCCCGCGUGUGCGAUGAAGGCCUUCGGGUUGUAAAGCACUUUUGGCAGGAAAGAAACGUCGCGGGUUAAUACCCCGCNAAACUGACGGUACCUGCAGAAUAAGCACCGGCUAACUACGUGCCAGCAGCCGCGGUAAUACGUAGGGUGCAAGCGUUAAUCGGAAUUACUGGGCGUAAAGCGUGCGCAGGCGGUUCGGAAAGAAAGAUGUGAAAUCCCAGAGCUUAACUUUGGAACUGCAUUUUUAACUACCGGGCUAGAGUGUGUCAGAGGGAGGUGGAAUUCCGCGUGUAGCAGUGAAAUGCGUAGAUAUGCGGAGGAACACCGAUGGCGAAGGCAGCCUCCUGGGAUAACACUGACGCUCAUGCACGAAAGCGUGGGGAGCAAA